UACGGAGGGUGCAAACGUUGCUCGGAAUCACUGGGCGUAAAGCGCACGUAGGCGGCCUCGUAAGUUGGGUGUGAAAGCCCUGGGCUCAACCCAGGAAGUGCAUCCAAAACUGCAAGGCUUGAGUACCGGAGGGGUUCAGAGAAUUCCUGGUGUAGAGGUGAAAUUCGUAGAUAUCAGGAGGAAUACCAGUGGCGAAGGCGCUGAACUGGACGGUAACUGACGCUGAGGUGCGAAAGCGUGGGUAGCAAACAGG
Molecule: ribosomal RNA, 253 nt
Filed under: uncultured bacterium
Lineage: Bacteria
Description: partial 16S ribosomal RNA
Rfam family: Bacterial small subunit ribosomal RNA
Source: RNAcentral